RNAcentral lists this long non-coding RNA (914 nucleotides) under Marmota monax (woodchuck). The record is from RNAcentral. Lineage: Eukaryota; Metazoa; Chordata; Mammalia; Rodentia; Sciuridae.
CUAGCAUAGCCAAAAUCAGGAUUAGAACAAUGAAACUGCCCUUUGAUUUGGCAACAUUGACAAGAGCAGUCUCUCUCAAGACCUCAAAAAGGGCAGUUUCUGUGAAACCAUGAAAUCAAAGCCUGACUGAAGUGGAUUAAGAAGAGAGAUAAGUAAAAAGCAGACGCAGAAUCUAUAAACAAUUCUAUCAAAAUGUUGUGUUGUAAAGGGAGCAAGUAAAAGGAGCUAAGGCAGUAGGUGAAGGGAGAUGUAGGGUCAAGAGAGCUCUGUGGAGAUUUUUUGUUCUUUUAUUUACAUAAAGGAUACUAAAGCAUAUUUAUAUACUAAUGAGAGUACUUUGGCAGACAAGAGUAAACUGAUAAUGCAAGAGAAAAGAUAAUUAUGGCAAAGGCCUGGAGGGGUUAGAAUUCAGAGCACAAGUAGGAAGGUUAGUUUUUUAUAGGAGCAGGGACAUAAAACUCCAAUAAGAGGGAAAGCUGACUUUGUAAUAUGCAGGUAGAUUAGUAGAUUUGUGGUGGCGAGGUAAAGAUGUUACUAUGUGAGUAGUUUAAUUUUACAAAGAAAAGUCAAUACAGGGGUGGUAAGGGAGUAUAGACUGGAAGAGAGAUACAUAAAUAGUUGCAGAAUAGGAAAGUGAAUAUAGAUGUAUGUCAUAUAUACAUACAGACAUAGUUAAUGGGUAUUUGUGUGUUAAUACAGGAUAGAAAAAAACCUAGAAAAUAUUUCAAAGCAUCUUUAUUAAACAUAAGUAAUUUUAUUGGAAGACCUAAAACUUUUGCUUUCCAAGGACUCUUGAUAAGAGUCAAGUGAUUGAGGAUUUCUUAAAUGCUAUAGAUACUUCUCAUGUUUUUUUUUUUUUGUCUAUUACAGAGUAAAUGGCAGAAAUAAUUUUUAGCCAUUCAUUAUAAUCUGAG